This 610-nucleotide long non-coding RNA is filed under the name Pan troglodytes (chimpanzee). Its description in RNAcentral is "lincRNA". The record is from RNAcentral. Lineage: Eukaryota; Metazoa; Chordata; Mammalia; Primates; Hominidae.
CUCCGCCUCCCGGGUUCACGCCAUUCUCCAGCCUCAGCCUCCCUCAGCGUCCCGAGUAGCUAGGACUACAGGCGCCCGCUACCACGCCCGGCUAAUUUUUUUGUAGUUUUAGUAGAGACGGGGUUUCACCGUGUUAGCCAGGAUGGUCUCCAUCUCCUGACCUCGUGAUCCGCCCGCCUCGGCCUCCCAAAGCGUUGGGAUUACAGGAGUGAGCCACCGCGCCCGGCCGAUUCUUGAAGAAACUGCUCUCAUAAGCUAAGGUUCCUUAUGAUUCUGCAAGGAAGAGAAGACUAAAGCAAAUCACUGUCUGAAAACAUAACAGCUGGCUAAAGCUGGAGUGCAGUGGCAUGAUCUCAGCUCACUGCAACCUCCGCCUCCCGGGUUCAAGUGAUUCUUCUGCCUCAGCCUCCCAAAUAGCUGUGAUUACAGGUCACAGUGUCCAUGUAACUAACUACUGGUUAAGAGGAUAUGGGUAGAAGGCACAUGUUCAACUUCUGGCUUCUGUCCUUGAAAAGUGUGAUGAUUCCAUCCUUUGCUGUCUUCCUUCCCGCUGACUGGAAUGUGGACUUGGUAGUGAGCUACCUUGGACUAUGUGGAUGAAGACAAAGAU